Molecule: non-coding RNA, 76 nt
Organism: Myotis davidii
Lineage: Eukaryota; Metazoa; Chordata; Mammalia; Chiroptera; Vespertilionidae
Source: Rfam
GGUGGUAUUCGGGUGACACACCCUGGAAUUGGGCUCCUUCCUCUCUGGUUCCGGGGUGCAUCACCCGAGGAUCGCA